GGCGUUGACUCCAAUUGAACGCAGGCUUCACCCUUGUGGUGCUCCCCCGCCAAUUCCUUUAAGUUCAUACUUGCGUACGUACUUCCCAGGCGGCAGACUUAACGGCUUCCCUGCGGCACUGCAUUGGCCACAAGCCAAUGCAUCACCGAGUCUGCAUCGUUUACAGCUGGGACUACCCGGGUAUCUAAUCCGGUUUGCUCCCCCAGCUUUCAUCCCUCACCGUCGAACGUGUUCUGGUACACCGCCUUCGCCACAGGUGGUCUUCAAUAGAUCAAAGGAUUUUACCCCUUCCUAUCGAGUACCGUGUACCUCUCCCACUCCCUAGCUGCACAGUAUUUUCGGCGGCCUAUACGUUAAGCGCAUAGAUUUAACCGAAAACUUAUGCAACCGGCUACGGAUGCUUUAGGCCCAAUAAACCUCCUGACCACUCGAGGUGCUGGUUUUACCGCGGCGGCUGACACCAGAACUUGCCCACCCCUUAUUCACCAGUGAUUCUACAACUGACAAAAGACUCCUUUAGCAGGAGACACUCGGAUUAACCUUGUCGUGCUUUCGCACAUUGCAAAGGUUUCUCGCCUGCUGCGCCCCAUAGGGCCUGGGUCCGUGUCUCAGUACCCAUCUCCGGG
This 626-nucleotide ribosomal RNA is filed under the name uncultured archaeon. RNAcentral's name for it is "partial 16S ribosomal RNA". The record is from RNAcentral.